AGUAAACGCUGGCGGUAGGCCUAACACAUGCAAGUCGAACGGCAGCACAGUAAGAGCUUGCUCUUACGGGUGGCGAGUGGCGGACGGGUGAGGAAUACAUCGGAAUCUACUUUUUCGUGGGGGAUAACGUAGGGAAACUUACGCUAAUACCGCAUACGACCUACGGUUGAAAGCAGUGGAUCUUCGGACCUUGCUCGAUUGAAUGAGCCGAUGUCGGAUUAGCUAGUUGGCGGGGUAAAGGCCCACCAAGGCGACGAUCCGUAGCCGGUCUGAGAGGAUGAUCAGCCACACUGGAACUGAGACACGGUCCAGACUCCUACGGGAGGCAGCAGUGGGGAAUAUUGGACAAUGGGCGAAAGCCUGAUCCAGCCAUACCGCGUGGGUGAAGAAGGCCUUCGGGUUGUAAAGCCCUUUUGUUGGGAAAGAAAAGCAGCAGGUUAAUACGCCGAUGUUCUGACGGUACCCAAAGAAUAAGCACCGGCUAACUUCGUG
Molecule: ribosomal RNA, 492 nt
Filed under: uncultured bacterium
Lineage: Bacteria
Description: partial 16S ribosomal RNA
Rfam family: Bacterial small subunit ribosomal RNA
Source: RNAcentral